This is a long non-coding RNA of Brachypodium distachyon (stiff brome), 1193 nucleotides long. RefSeq lists it as uncharacterized. The record is from RefSeq and is a predicted model, not a curated record. NCBI's taxonomy places the organism in Eukaryota, Viridiplantae, Streptophyta, Magnoliopsida, Poales, Poaceae. The transcript has 2 exons.
AGCAAAUGUCAUGGGUUCUGAUCGGUUACGACUUCAUCCGUACGUCGUCGCCGGAAAAGUAAGUACGUACGUGCUCGAUCAAAAUAUCCCAUAUGUAUGCGUUUACCCUGGUCCGGUUUUCCUAGGGAUAAAAAAUACUAAUAGUACAGUGUAGAUAUCUUCAAGCUGUGAAAUGGGCAGACCCAGUAAGUUGCACGUACACACAUGCUUUGGACUUAACUUUACCUUUCUUUCGUUUCUUUGCCAUCGGUUACAACUGUUGAAUGGAGUGAGGUUCAGGAUACCGGCGGGCAGGCGACCAGAAUGCACGUAUAUACUGUAUCACUCUCUGACUCCCUGUUGAUCUUCUGUGCAAAGACCUGUAUAUAUUACUCUGAACCUCGUUCCUUAACUUCGUUCUUUCUGAAUCUUAUCAAACAGGCAAAGCAAAAUGCCCAUGCAUGGAGAAGAUCCUAGCGGGUUGUCGAUCGAGAUCGCGCGCCUGUGAGUGGCUCACGGGAUGCGCAUCGGCCGCGUGAUCUUGCCCCUGACAGAGCACCAUCGCCUAACCUCAUCGCCGGCGGGACGGCGGGCACUUUCCUUGGAUCUUUUGUAGCUUCCUCUCCUUUUUUCCGUGCAGGUGGAUGAUGUGAUGCACGUUACGUCAUUCGUUCGUAUACUUCUCUCUAGUAUCAGAAGCUUCGUUAGAGCGUACGUCCCGGAGCCCGCCGGGCCGCCGCGCCGAUCAGGGCAACAGCAAGCGGUAAUAAGCGGUCCUCUAUUGAUGGUGCAUGCAUGCAGAUAUAUAGACCCUGCAAAUUGACAGUUCGUGCCCUGAAUUCGCAACCGAUGAACACGCAUCCAUACUCUUCGGAAUGUUGCUCCAGAGUAAUCGAGCUUGUCCCAGACGCAUGCAGCAUGCACCAGCUGAUUAGCUCCUGCCUGGAGGAGUUCCACACAAAAUUCGAGCAAAACUUGAAAAAUAUUACUCCCUCCGAUCCAUAUUACUCGUCAAAAUAUUACAUAUAUCUGGACGUUUUUUAAACAUAGAUACGUUCAUAUAGCAAAUUUGAGACAAGUAUAAUAUGGAUCGGAGGAAGUAAUAAACGACAAGUACAUUUUCGACCUGAAGUUAUACUUAUGCUUCAUCGAUCUUUGGCCAGCUUUCCAACACAUGUAAAUUUCCUAUCUAUUAAUCGGACUACAUUAUAAAA